CGGGUGACAAUGUUGAGUGGGGGAGGAACUAUUAUGUGGGGUUGGUGGUAGUUUGGGGGAAAGGUUUGAGAGCCGGACAGCCAUUUUGUAAACAACUCCAGGUGGCUCAGUUACUUGAUUGGUGGCAGCUGAAGACCAUAAUUGCAUAAGAUUCCACGUUAAUUGCAUGAAGCAGCCGAUUGGAGGAUGGAUAAGUAGAAAUGCUUUAUAAGGGCCCAGAAUCCGACAGGAGGCAGGCGGGGUCAAGGGGCAGAAGAGAAGCAGGCCAGACUGAUGGAUGACUGGGAGAGCAAGAAGAAGAGCUAAAGAAAGCAACUGGAGCCUGGGGGGAAACUGUCAGCAUUGUUUUUAGUUGCAGAAUGGCUACUUCUCUGUCAUGACCCCCAGCGCCGGCCUGUGACAGUCCUCACCACCACAUCCAUUGGACCGAUGUCUGGUCACUUGAGAGUCUAUCUGAGGGCCACGUGAGUUGCAGUGCUCAAACGUUUGCAGUGUAUUUAUCCUGAAACUACCCCCCUUGUUUGAAGUGGUUCACCUUGGAGAAAGUGGUGUGAAGAGUGUGCCCCCCCUCCCCCUCUAACUGUACUUGCAAGUGACUUGAGUAGGCCCAGCUAUUGCAUGAAGAGGACUGAAGCAAGCCUGGUACCUGCCACCCCCUCCUUCUGGCUACUGGAUGAUCUGCACCUGUGUCGGAGGACCAUUCGCCGUGCUGGAGGGCCCAAAGAGUGUUCUGGUCACGUGAGUCGCAGCCCUAUGGGCAUCCAUGCAUCAUGGCGAGAAAUGCAUUGUGAUUGAGGGUAACCCUCUGUGUUUUUGACCAGUCUGGAUGAGUGGUGACCCAGCACGGACAACGCAACCCCCCGACGCAGCCAGGAGAACUGUGCCGAACCCAGCAUGCCACUGCCUAGCCCCAGCCACCUCAGUCUGCCCCCUGUGGCACCUGCACUCCAAUGCCGACAUCAGCUGCUCUCGCCCCGCCUCCAGUGCAGCCCGUACCCACCCAUGGUCCAGCUUUUCCAGAAACCCAGCCCCUCGUCAUGAACUUCCGGUCCUGUCCCAGAGACUGCUCCCUCUACUCCCUGGUUUAAAUUAUUUCAAUAAAAAGGCUGCACUGUGAAA
This is a long non-coding RNA of Engraulis encrasicolus (European anchovy), 1119 nucleotides long. RefSeq lists it as uncharacterized. The transcript has 2 exons. NCBI's taxonomy places the organism in Eukaryota, Metazoa, Chordata, Actinopteri, Clupeiformes, Engraulidae. The record is from RefSeq and is a predicted model, not a curated record.